Molecule: ribosomal RNA, 913 nt
Filed under: uncultured archaeon
Lineage: Archaea
Description: bacterial SSU rRNA
Rfam family: Archaeal small subunit ribosomal RNA
Source: RNAcentral
UUCCGGUUGAUCCUGCCGGACCUGACUGCUAUCGGAUUGAUACUAAGCCAUGCGAGUCAUUGUAGCAAUACAAGGCAGACGGCUCAGUAACGCGUAGUCAACCUAACCUAUGGACGGGAAUAACCUCGGGAAACUGAGAAUAAUGCCCGAUAGAACACUAUACCUGGAAUGGUUUGUGUUCCAAAUGAUUUAUCGCCGUAGGAUGGGACUGCGGCCUAUCAGUUUGUUGGUGAGGUAAUGGCCCACCAAGACUAUUACAGGUACGGGCUCUGAGAGGAGUAGCCCGGAGAUGGGUACUGAGACACGGACCCAGGCCCUAUGGGGCGCAGCAGGCGAGAAAACUUUGCAAUGUGCGAAAGCACGACAAGGUUAAUCCGAGUGAUUUGUGCUAAACGAAUCUUUUGUUAGUCCUAGAAACACUAACGAAUAAGGGGUGGGCAAGUUCUGGUGUCAGCCGCCGCGGUAAAACCAGCACCUCAAGUGGUCAGGAUGAUUAUUGGGCCUAAAGCAUCCGUAGCCUGCUUUGUAAGUUUUCGGUUAAAUCCAUAUGCUCAACGUAUGGGCUGCCGGGAAUACUGCAAAGCUAGGGAGUGGGAGAGGUAGACGGUACUCGGUAGGAGGGGGUAAAAUCCUUUGAUCUAUUGAUGACCACCUGUGGCGAAGGCGGUCUACCAGAACACGUCCGACGGUGAGGGAUGAAAGCUGGGGGAGCAAACCGGAUUAGAUACCCGGGUAGUCCCAGCUGUAAACUAUGCAAACUCAGUGAUGCAUUGGCUUGAUGCCAAUGCAGUGCUGCAGGAAGCCGUUAAGUUUGCCGCCUGGGAAGUACGUACGCAAGUAUGAAACUUAAAGGAAUUGGCGGGGGAGCACCACAAGGGGUGAGCCUGCGGUUCAAUUGGAUUCAACGCCGGAA